UUGGCUGGAUGGUCUACUUGCCAAACUGUUAGGCAGCUUUCCUAGGGCCAGCUCAGGAAGGAUGGAAACCUCCACUAGAGGUGAAGAGCAAAAGCUUGCUUGAUCUUGACUUUCAGUGUGAGUACAGACUGUGUAAGUGGGCCCUCAUCUUCCUUCUGACUUUUAGGGUUUUUGCCCAAAACCCCAAACAUUCCUAAUCGAUCUUAAGUUUACACCUGUCAAUUGUAAUCUUUAUUUUUCAGAAAGAAG
RNAcentral lists this non-coding RNA (249 nucleotides) under Ficedula albicollis (Collared flycatcher). RNAcentral's name for it is "Eukaryotic large subunit ribosomal RNA". It matches the Rfam family "Eukaryotic large subunit ribosomal RNA", at positions 2621 to 2799 of the family's 3401-position model. Lineage: Eukaryota; Metazoa; Chordata; Aves; Passeriformes; Muscicapidae. The record is from Rfam by way of RNAcentral.